RNAcentral lists this ribosomal RNA (490 nucleotides) under uncultured bacterium. RNAcentral describes it as "partial 16S ribosomal RNA". It matches the Rfam family "Bacterial small subunit ribosomal RNA", at positions 30 to 507 of the family's 1533-position model. The record is from RNAcentral.
AUUGAACGCUGGCGGCAGGCCUAACACAUGCAAGUCGAACGGUAACAGGAAGCAGCUUGCUGCUUUGCUGACGAGUGGCGGACGUGUGAGAAAUGUCUGGGAAACUGCCUUAUGGAGGGGGAUAACUACUGGAAACGGUACCUAAUACCGCAUAACUUCGCAAGACCAAAGAGGGGGACCUUAGGGCCUCUUUCCAUCGGAUGUGCCCAGAUGGGAUUAGCUAGUAGGUGGGGUAACGGCUCACCUAGGCGACGAUCCCUAGCUGGUCUGAGAGGAUGACCAGCCACACUGGAACUGAGACACGGUCCAGACUCCUACGGGAGGCAGCAGUGGGGAAUAUUGCACAAUGGGCGAAAGCCUGAUGCAGCCAUGCCGCGUGUAUGAAGAAGGCCUUCGGGUUGUAAAGUACUUUCAGCGGGGAGGAAGGGAGUAAAGUUAAUACCUUUGCUCAUUGACGUUACCCGCAGAAGAAGCACCGGCUAACUCCGUG